UAAUGCCGAUGUCUUGUAGUAUAACAGUUAACACCUCUAAGUCACAUGGAUGAAUGGACCAACAUUAUCCUUAAUAAGAGACAAAUGCUCAAAGGACAUUAAACACUGAUACCACAAUCCCAUUGAUGAAUGCGAGUGACACACGCUCGACAUGUGUGUUGCAUUUUUGAGGAAAUUUUUUGUUAUUAUUGUUUAGAAGACUUCUGAUUAGCAUGUAGUUAUUGGGAUUUGUUGAAUCACUAUAUUCCAUACUAUUUAACAUGUUUGAGCAAUCAAUAUAGACGAUUCCAGAACCAAAAGCGCUUACAUAGGGGCAAAAUAUAGACUAGUUUGUGUUAAAUCUUUAUUGAAUUUAUGAUUGAGAGGAAUAGAAAAGAUGCUUUGGAAAAGAUCGCGCCAGUAUUAUGAUAAUAGCUAUAUGAACUACUGGUUUACUGUCAAUGUGCCCUUGCAUUAAAAAGUUCAAUACUGCUGAAUUUCACACUACUGACUCUUCAUGAUGCAUGAUCUAAAUAAUUAUUUCAUAUAAUUGACGAACCAGCACAUACAAAGAAGAAAAUUUGGCAGGUUGCAUUUUGGAUGCCUGUUGUGUUCUAUGCCUUAUAAAUCAUUUAGAAUGUUACUUAUUGUGGGAAGUGGUUUUGCACGAGGAGCUUCCUUAUCACUGUGUAGUUGGAACUGAAUGUGUUAUCUUGAAAGCUUUAACCACUCUUUGGGACUUUGUUUUAAAUCCUCUCCAUUCAAUUAAUGAAGGAAUUUAAGUGGAUGGUUAAAGCAUUGGAUUGUAUUGGGAAGCAGUAAAUGUGCUCGGACUCUUUGAAUCGGUUUUUAGCAAGAUAAAUUGGGAAUGGCGAAAUGCCUACACUUCCAGCAGCAGUGCCUAAAUCUUCAAUCUUGAAUGCACAGAUCUGCUCUUUGGAUACUGCAUUUUGAAGUCUCUGGUCGGUUGGUAAGGUCCAAAUCUCUGAUCUGGCCUAUGUAGAUCUACAUAGUUGGGCAACAGGUUUUGAAAUGUUUGAUUGAUUAAUGCUUGAAGAAGCAAUCUGACCAAAAUGCUUUAGAAAAACGAUGGGAUUAGGUAU
Molecule: long non-coding RNA, 1082 nt
Organism: Olea europaea var. sylvestris
Lineage: Eukaryota; Viridiplantae; Streptophyta; Magnoliopsida; Lamiales; Oleaceae
Exons: 3
Source: RefSeq, a predicted model, not a curated record